Molecule: long non-coding RNA, 1603 nt
Organism: Pygocentrus nattereri (red-bellied piranha)
Lineage: Eukaryota; Metazoa; Chordata; Actinopteri; Characiformes; Serrasalmidae
Source: Ensembl
GGCCGGCAAGGAUCCAGCAGGAGAGAAAAACAUAGGGAUAACAUCAGAAACAAGGAGUGACAGGAAACAGAGAGGGAGAGGGGUGGCGGAGGGGGGCCUGCGCAGCGCAAAACUCCAGGGAAAAAAGUUUUAGGGUUCGGGCAUUUACGAGAAAGACGUCCAGAAGGAGUGGCCAAGGUUGGACGCAAGGACAGGAUCUGUUUGGGAGCAUCGGUCUGAACCCACUUGUCUGCUUCCAUCAGGCUCUGGGGAGCAUUUUGCCCCCCCCCGUUCUGGCUCGACAAUGGUCUACAGAAGUGGACCAAGAUGGACCACCCUGCAAAGACUGGAAAAGGACCUGCCGAUUAGUUUUGAACAGGACAGCAAUGGAAUGAGCUCCCACAGAUCUAAGCAGACCCUCUGCAAUGGAUACAGCCACCAUUCCAGCUUAUCCCUUGCCACUCUGGAGUGCCACGCACAGCUAGUUACGGCUGGCCAAAGCUAUCAGACUGGGUCCAGCACUAUGAGGUGGGGCAAGUGUCAGAAGGCACAACACAACAGCGCCUCUGUGAGGGACUGCUUGAAAGAAUGCAGCUUUGUGGCCAACCUACGCCAGACCCAGACACCCCUCCCUUCGAGGAAAUGUGCUCUGGAGUUGCCGACACAGUUCAUAGGUCAAAGAAACUGUGGAGCGCCUGUUUGUGUGGUGGACCAACAAUCUGGCUCUGUUAGUGAGUCGCAGCCUUCUGGGCAGACUGAGGCAAACCAGCACACCUUUGACAAACGCUGCAGACUGAAAUCAAACUGUCACAGCAACCUAGAACCCACCUGUGCGGGCAGCAUUAAAAAGAAGCCGAUGGGACAUGUAGCGGAAGACGAUGAUGGGCCCAGAUCCACGCAAGUUAUCUUCUCUACAGAAGUUCCGCAAGACGCCACUCUUGAGCGCCUUAAAGGCAGGUGUGAUUUGGCGGAAGGGUAUGACUCAAAGAACCGGUCCGAUGCCAUGGGAGAGGGCCUGAGUGGAGAAACAUACAUUUUCACUUCAAAGAAAACACAGAGGGUUCUGCAGGACCAGAUUCGCAGAGUGGUUGUAAACCUGGAGGAAGUUCUGCAAGGCUUGAAGGGCAUCCAUCUAGAGAUGAAGGAGGUGGUCCAACAGAUUGACGUGCUGACCUCCAACAUUGACCUGGGAGAGGAGGAUACAGAAGACACUUGUGGAGGCUCCAGCAGGAGUGCACCUGCAUCAGAAGAGCCGUCGAAGAAGAUCCGCUCCAUCAGGGACAACUCUGGACGCCCCGACAGUCCGUCUCGUAAUCCGUCAACAGUGCCAAGGGCCUACAAAAGGUGCCAGGCAUCUGAAAAAGACCAGCAUGAGCGUAAAAACACUCGUUUGCCCCCACCUGCAUACCCAACUGCUGCAAACAGUUUAGCGCCAACAUCAAUUCUGGGAGAGCAAGAAUGUACAGGAGCCAAAUCGGAGGCCGCUAAAGGGCCUAGGAGCCAGAAGAAGCCCCCUCCUUAUCCGUUCAGCAGCAGAGCUGGGAGGGCAGCUAAAGGGAAAGAUGCAGACCUGAAAACUCCCCCUUACUCGGGCAGGCGAAAACUGCUUUCCACCACCGUGUAA